CAGUUGCUCUUCCUCCCCCCAAGAACUGUACUGAAUCCUACCCUAAAUUCGCUUGGUGUGACACCCGACAAUUGGUCUCUCCAGGAACAUAUAUGCAGUCCUUUAGGCUUCAGGAAAGGACCAACCACUAUCGGCACGUCAUUUUCCUUCUUACUGAAUUAUGUCGAGCCGCUUGGAUGGGAGCCGUGUGUAUCUCCGUCGCCUGAUGGAGUAAUGAUGGUGGCAAAAACUUAAUGGUUGAAACCCAGGAGCUUGAAGAUGCAGCGGCUGGGAACCGGAGGAAAAGAACAUGGCGUGGCAUCAUCCCCUCCGUAGGAUGCCGCCAAGCACCUAGGCAAAUACUGUACUUAAAAAUACGAAUGUACUUAAAAACCAUGGAGAAACAUCUUCCUUUCAGCAAGACUGUACUUAAA
Molecule: long non-coding RNA, 413 nt
Organism: Triticum dicoccoides
Lineage: Eukaryota; Viridiplantae; Streptophyta; Magnoliopsida; Poales; Poaceae
Exons: 3
Source: RefSeq, a predicted model, not a curated record